AUUGAACGCUGGCGGAAUGCUUUACACAUGCAAGUCGAACGGCAGCACGGACUUCGGUCUGGUGGCGAGUGGCGAACGGGUGAGUAAUAUAUCGGAACGUGCCCAGGCGUGGGGGAUAACAGAGUGAAAAUUACGCUAAUACCGCAUACGAUCUAAGGAUGAAAGCGGGGGAUAGCAAGACCUCGCGCGAUUGGAGCGGCCGAUAUCAGAUUAGGUAGUUGGUGAGGUAAAAGCCCACCAAGGCAACGAUCCGUAGCUGGUCUGAGAGGACGACCAGCCACACUGGGACUGAGACACGGCCCAGACUCCUACGGGAGGCAGCAGUGGGGAAUUUUGGACAAUGGACGCAAGUCUGAUCCAGCCAUGCCGCGUGCGGGAAGAAGGCCUUCGGGUUGUAAACCGCUUUUGUCAGGGAAGAAAUCUUCUGAGUUAAUACCUCGGGAGGAUGACGGUACCUGAAGAAUAAGCACCGGCUAACUACGUGCCAGCCGCCGCAGUAA
This 500-nucleotide ribosomal RNA is filed under the name uncultured bacterium. Its description in RNAcentral is "partial 16S ribosomal RNA". It matches the Rfam family "Bacterial small subunit ribosomal RNA", at positions 30 to 523 of the family's 1533-position model. The record is from RNAcentral.